This is a long non-coding RNA of Xiphophorus couchianus (Monterrey platyfish), 527 nucleotides long. RefSeq lists it as uncharacterized. The transcript is spliced from 2 exons. The record is from RefSeq and is a predicted model, not a curated record. NCBI's taxonomy places the organism in Eukaryota, Metazoa, Chordata, Actinopteri, Cyprinodontiformes, Poeciliidae.
UGCGCUCCUCUUAUGACAGAUUAUGUCAUUCCUUUUGUGUAACAAGUGGCCUUCGGAGUCACAUGUUUCCCUGCGUGCGCUGGUGGUUGUUACAGUGCACUGCACCGCUGCUGCGUGGGUCACAGGGGGUUGUUUGGGAAAACUGAAACGUGGUGGCCUCGUUCUGCAGCCCGAGAUAAAAAAAAAAAACAACAAAAAACAACCACCUGGAAAACAGUAUGCUGGAAACAACGAGUUUUGCUCUCUGGGCUCAAGGGGUCCGGAGCCGCCACAGCUGCAGAACCCUGGGUCGACCCCGACGAGCCCUGACCUGGAGCUUGACCCUGGGUGUCCCUCCUCUGAGAGAUGGAAAGCUUCUUCUUUCGAGGUCGCCCCUUCAGGUUCGGAGCUGAGGGAGAACAGAAAGACAAGAUGAGAUUUAUCUAUUUAGGCCGGAAAUAAAUCACAUCACCUAGUGUGAUAUCUUUUUUUUUUUACCAUGGUGUAGCAACACCCCCAUUGUUGUGUAUAAGCUGCUGUAAAAAAAA